This 407-nucleotide ribosomal RNA is filed under the name uncultured bacterium. RNAcentral describes it as "partial 16S ribosomal RNA". It matches the Rfam family "Bacterial small subunit ribosomal RNA", at positions 30 to 526 of the family's 1533-position model. The record is from RNAcentral.
AUUGAACGCUGGCGGCAGGCCUAACACAUGCAAGUAGAGCGGAGCGGCGGACGGGUGAGUAAUGCCUAGGAAUCUUCCUGGUAGUGGGGGAUAACGUCCGGAAACGGGCGCUAAUACCGCAUACUAUCAGAUCAGCCUAGGUCGGAUUAGGUAGUUGGUGGGGUAAAGGCCUACAAAGGCGACGAUCCCUAGCUGGUCUGAGAGGAUGUUCAGCCACACUGUGACUGAGACACGGCCCAGACUCCUACGGGAGGCAGCAGUGGGGAAUAUUGCACAAUGGGCGCAAGCCUGAUGCAGCCAUGCCGCGUGUAUGAAGAAGGCCUUCGGGUUGUAAAGUACUUUCAGUCGGGAGGCGUUACCGACAGAAGAAGCACCGGCUAACUCUGUGCCAGCCGCCGCGGUAAUAC